UGUGUGUCCAGUCCACUUUGAGCGGUGUCCCGCCUCAUCUGCGUCUUCCUGUGGCUGUCACCUGCUACUGGCUGAGGCACGCCCAUCCACCCCCAGACCUGCCUGUCCUGCAGGCCCUGCUACUAGGAUUGGUGUAGGAGAGCUCUGCAGACAGAGAAGAGCCAAAGAGGGUUUAUGGAGGGGCCAGUGGUGGAGAGGUGAGAGGGCUGAUUCAGAGAGGUAGAAGGAGCCUAGACCUGGGUGUGGCCCACGCCUACAGCCAGUGGCAGUGCUGCCUGAAGAAAGCCUUCACCUCAACCAACUGCUGUGCUCCCUCUAGCCGAGCCCCAGUGUGCCUGGCUGUACAAGGGCACUCUGGUGCACCAGCUUGUGACCAAACUGAGAGGGGGUUAACCCCGGAUUCUCUCCUGAUGGGAGGCCCUUGCUCUGGGCAGCUGUAUAGGGCAUGCUGGGAGCCAUACUCACUCCCACGAUGCUGCUGUCAUCCCCGUGGUGUCUGGGCAGCAGAGGGCCCACCUCCAUCCUUGACACAGCCACUGGACGACUACGGCCCAUCUACACAUUCUGGCUCUGGAAGAAGAUGAUGAUGAUGAUGGUGUGGAGGUGGGACAAGGCCAAGCCAGAAGACGAUCUGGGUUGGACUUUAGUCUCAGUGCGGACCGGCACAAGAGCAAGGACAGAUUCAACCGAGCUAGGAAUCCAGAAUUUUCUCGGAAGCAGGGGCGGAUCGGCUGGGAAUAGAGAGGACCAUUAUAUAACUGUUUAGUUAUAGAGACUUUCUGCUCAACUCUUAAUCUUUCUAUUGUUCUUAUGUGUAUCUAUUAUGACUUAAUUGACAUUGUUUUUAGCAUGAACUACAAUAGAAGUUAUGAUAAGUUUGACUUAGUUUUAUUUGUGUUUUCUUUCUUUGCUGUCUGCUGUAAAGAGUAUUUGGUCUUUGAAAUAGCUCUAUAAAUCCCAUGUAUUGUUACUGUUACAUUACUGCUGCUCUGGAAAUAUUUUGAUCAUCAAAAAUGAAAAAUACAUUUAAACCA
This is a long non-coding RNA of Salvelinus sp. IW2-2015, 1034 nucleotides long. RefSeq lists it as uncharacterized. The record is from RefSeq and is a predicted model, not a curated record. Lineage: Eukaryota; Metazoa; Chordata; Actinopteri; Salmoniformes; Salmonidae.